This 253-nucleotide ribosomal RNA is filed under the name uncultured bacterium. RNAcentral's name for it is "partial 16S ribosomal RNA". It matches the Rfam family "Bacterial small subunit ribosomal RNA", at positions 524 to 776 of the family's 1533-position model. The record is from RNAcentral.
UACGUAGGUGGCGAGCGUUGUCCGGAUUUACUGGGCGUAAAGAGCGCGCAGGCGGUCGUACAAGUCGCGUGUGAAAGCCCCUGGCUCAACUGGGGAGGGUCACGCGAUACUGUUCGACUCGAAGGCAGGAGAGGGAAGUGGAAUUCCCGGUGUAGUGGUGAAAUGCGUAGAUAUCUGGAGGAACACCGGUGGCGAAGGCGGCAUCCUGGACCAAUUCUGACGCUGAGGAGCGAAAGCCAGGGGAGCAAACGGG